AGAACGAACGCUGGCGGCGUGGAUAAGACAUGCAAGUCGAACGGGAUAACAUUUGUAGCAAUACAAGUGUUGUCUAGUGGCGAACGGGUGCGUAACACGUGGGCAAUCUGCCGAAAAGUGGGGGAUAGCUCGCCGAAAGGCGAAUUAAUACCGCAUGUGGUGAGGGGGACAUCUUCCCAAAACUAAAGCCGGGGCAACCUGGCGCUUUUUGAUGAGCCCGCGGCCUAUCAGCUAGUUGGUGAGGUAACGGCUCACCAAGGCAUUGACGGGUAGCUGGUCUGAGAGGACGACCAGCCACACUGGAACUGAGACACGGUCCAGACACCUACGGGUGGCAGCAGUCG
RNAcentral lists this ribosomal RNA (344 nucleotides) under uncultured soil bacterium. RNAcentral's name for it is "bacterial SSU rRNA". It matches the Rfam family "Bacterial small subunit ribosomal RNA", at positions 26 to 357 of the family's 1533-position model. The record is from RNAcentral.